UUAUUUGCUCAUGGGUUGUGGAUUCAUUGGAAAACUGAGGGUCCCGUCCGCUCCCCUGAACAUAAACCGCGAAGCGCCGGACUAGUAGUUGGGUCGGUGACGACCAGCGAAUCCCCGGUGUUGUAUGUU
This 129-nucleotide ribosomal RNA is filed under the name Candidatus Bathyarchaeota archaeon. The record is from RNAcentral. Lineage: Archaea; Thermoproteati; Candidatus Bathyarchaeota.